UGAGGAAUAUUGGUCAAUGGGCGCGAGCCUGAACCAGCCAAGUCGCGUGAGGGAAGACUGCCCUAUGGGUUGUAAACCUCUUUUGUCGGGGAGCAACGACAUCUCGAGAGAUGUGAUGAGAGUACCCGAAGAAAAAGCAUCGGCUAACUCCGUGCC
This 156-nucleotide ribosomal RNA is filed under the name uncultured bacterium. Its description in RNAcentral is "partial 16S ribosomal RNA". It matches the Rfam family "Bacterial small subunit ribosomal RNA", at positions 355 to 509 of the family's 1533-position model. The record is from RNAcentral.